RNAcentral lists this ribosomal RNA (584 nucleotides) under Colletotrichum gloeosporioides. RNAcentral describes it as "eukaryotic LSU rRNA". The stretch from base 224 to 377 matches the Rfam family "5.8S ribosomal RNA". The record is from RNAcentral. Lineage: Eukaryota; Fungi; Ascomycota; Sordariomycetes; Glomerellales; Glomerellaceae.
AGUAAAAGUCGUAACAAGGUCUCCGUUGGUGAACCAGCGGAGGGAUCAUUACUGAGUUUACGCUCUACAACCCUUUGUGAACAUACCUAUAACUGUUGCUUCGGCGGGUAGGGUCUCCGCGACCCUCCCGGCCUCCCGCCUCCGGGCGGGUCGGCGCCCGCCGGAGGAUAACCAAACUCUGAUUUAACGACGUUUCUUCUGAGUGGUACAAGCAAAUAAUCAAAACUUUUAACAACGGAUCUCUUGGUUCUGGCAUCGAUGAAGAACGCAGCGAAAUGCGAUAAGUAAUGUGAAUUGCAGAAUUCAGUGAAUCAUCGAAUCUUUGAACGCACAUUGCGCCCGCCAGCAUUCUGGCGGGCAUGCCUGUUCGAGCGUCAUUUCAACCCUCAAGCUCUGCUUGGUGUUGGGGCCCUACAGCCGAUGUAGGCCCUCAAAGGUAGUGGCGGACCCUCCCGGAGCCUCCUUUGCGUAGUAACUUUACGUCUCGCACUGGGAUCCGGAGGGACUCUUGCCGUAAAACCCCCCAAUUUUCCAAAGGUUGACCUCGGAUCAGGUAGGAAUACCCGCUGAACUUAAGCAUAUCA